This 72-nucleotide transfer RNA is filed under the name Colletotrichum orbiculare MAFF 240422. RNAcentral's name for it is "tRNA-Ala (TGC) (tRNA-Ala-TGC-2-1)". It matches the Rfam family "tRNA". From Rfam's summary of the family: Transfer RNA (tRNA) molecules are approximately 80 nucleotides in length. Their secondary structure includes four short double-helical elements and three loops (D, anti-codon, and T loops). The record is from RNAcentral. Lineage: Eukaryota; Fungi; Ascomycota; Sordariomycetes; Glomerellales; Glomerellaceae.
GGGCGUGUAGCUCAGUGGUAGAGCGCCCGCUUUGCAUGCGGGAGGUCCAGGUUUCAAUCACCUGCCCGUCCA